UGGGGAAUAUUGCACAAUGGGCGCAAGCCUGAUGCAGCCAUGCCGCGUGUGUGAAGAAGGCCUUCGGGUUGUAAAGCACUUUCAGCGAGGAGGAAGGUGGUGAGCUUAAUACGCUCAUCAAUUGACGUUACUCGCAGAAGAAGCACCGGCUAACUCCGUGCCAGCAGCCGCGGUAAUACGGAGGGUGCAAGCGUUAAUCGGAAUUACUGGGCGUAAAGCGCACGCAGGCGGUUUGUUAAGUCAGAUGUGAAAAUCCCCGGGCUCAACCUGGGAACUGCAUUUGAAACUGGCAAGCUAGAGUCUCGUAGAGGGGGGUAGAAUUCCAGGUGUAGCGGUGAAAUGCGUAGAGAUCUGGAGGAAUACCGGUGGCGAAGGCGGCCCCCUGGACGAAGACUGACGCUCAGGUGCGAAAGCGUGGGGAGCAAAACAGGAUUAGAUACCCCGGUAGUCCACGCUGUAAAACGAUGUCGAUUUUGGAGGUUGUGCCCUUGAGGCGUGGCUUCCGGAGCUAACGCGUUAAAUCGACCGCCUGGGGAGUACGGCCGCAAGGUU
Molecule: ribosomal RNA, 552 nt
Filed under: uncultured bacterium
Lineage: Bacteria
Description: partial 16S ribosomal RNA
Rfam family: Bacterial small subunit ribosomal RNA
Source: RNAcentral